CAGCUCCAAGGAGAACCAGGCCAGCAACGAUACCCACGAUGGGGAUGGUGGGCUGAGAAGACUGCUCUGGGAAAAAAGGGGAAGAAGGCACCACCACAGCUGCCCACUUCUGGAAGGUUCCAUCCCCUGCAGGCCUGGUCUCUAGAAGCUCCAUGUCCCGAGUCUGGUCCUCUCCAUCCUGCUGCCAGGAUCUGGAAACCCAGGAGGAUUCCUCUCCCUCAGGACCAGAGAGAGGACGACAUUCUAGUGUUGGUCCCAUUUUCCUUCUCUCUUUGUGGGAAGCCAGCCCAGGAGAUCUACAGGCGAUCAGGGAGGCGUCUUGUGUUCCCUGGUACCCGUGAGCUGCAGCGUCUCCUUCCCGUUCUCCAGGUGUCUGCGAGCCUCUCCACGCACGUGCCCUCCAGGUAGGCCCUGAUCUGCUCUGCAAAUUCUUCUGCCUCCCACUUGCGCUUGGUGAUCUGAGCCGCCAUGUCCGCCGCGGUCCAGGAGCGCAGGUCCUAGUUCCGGGCUAUGUAAUCCUUGCCAUCGUUGGCGUGCUGUUCAUACCCGCGGAGGAGGCGCCCUUCCAGCCCCAAGUCGCAGCCAUACAUUAUCUGGAGGGUGUUAGACCCUGGCCCCGCCCCCGCGGUCAG
Molecule: long non-coding RNA, 632 nt
Filed under: Homo sapiens (human)
Lineage: Eukaryota; Metazoa; Chordata; Mammalia; Primates; Hominidae
Description: PREDICTED lncRNA (TCONS_00229618)
Source: RNAcentral